Molecule: ribosomal RNA, 433 nt
Filed under: uncultured bacterium
Lineage: Bacteria
Description: partial 16S ribosomal RNA
Rfam family: Bacterial small subunit ribosomal RNA
Source: RNAcentral
AACGAACGCUGGCGGCAUGCCUAACACAUGCAAGUCGAACGAGACCUUCGGGUCUAGUGGCGCACGGGUGCGUAACGCGUGGGAACCUGCCCUUAGGUUCGGAAUAACUCCCCGAAAGGGGUGCUAAUACCGGAUAAUGUCUUCGGACCAAAGAUUUAUCGCCUUUGGAUGGGCCCGCGUUGGAUUAGCUAGUUGGUAGGGUAAAAGCCUACCAAGGCGACGAUCCAUAGCUGGUCUGAGAGGAUGAUCAGCCACACUGGGACUGAGACACGGCCCAGACUCCUACGGGAGGCAGCAGUGGGGAAUAUUGGACAAUGGGGGAAAGCCUGAUCCAGCAAUGCCGGGUGAGUGAUGAAGGCCUUAGGGUUGUAAAGCUCUUUUACCCGGGAUGAUAAUGACAGUACCGGGAGAAUAAGCUCCGGCUAACUCCGUG